AAACACUGUCAAUAAGCCAGUGCUGAACUAUGUAAAAUGGCCUUUUUCAUUGAGUGGGGACUACACAAAUAGCUAAUUCUGGGCCAAAGAGAUGUGAGUGAAGUGGCUGCUGAUUGCUGAAUAUCUUUGAUGGCAAGGUAACUAUGCUUUUGAACCUUGAAAAUUGUACUACUGUAGGGCAUUUUGGAUUAUGCACUCACUCAACAAGUAUUUAUUGAGUAUGUACUGUGUACUAAACACUAUUCUAAGUUCUUGUUAUAUAUAUUGAUGAAAGAGAAAGAUACUUUCUUUAUGAUACUUUUUCUAGUAGGGGAACAGAAAAUAAACAAUAGACAUAAAAAAUAAGCACCAUAGAUUGUUAAAAGGUAGUAAUUGCAUGAAAAAAGGAGAACAGGGCAGGGGAGAUUGGGAGUAUUGGGGUUAGAGAUGGGGUUACAAUUUUAAAUAGAGUCGUCAGGGCAGGCCUUAUUGCAAAGGUGAUGACUGGAGGCAAGCGGGUGAGCCAUGAGUAAAUCUGGAGGAAGAGCAUUGCAGGCAACGGAAACAGACCCAGUAGCAGAACAUUGCCUGCUGUGCUUGAGGAGCAGCUAGGAGCACUCAAGUAGAGUGCUCACGGUGGAGAGGUGGGAGGACCAAAGCCUGUGGGGCCUGCUGGCUUGUGGAAAGGACUUUGGUUUUUAUUCUGUGUGAGUUGGGGAGCUUUUGCAGGGCUUUGGGCAGAGGAUUGACGUGAUCUAAUUCAACGGGAAUUAUUUGACUUCUGUGCAGAGAAUAAACUGUAAAGGGAUAAGCGUUGAUGCAAGGAGAGUAGGCUGGAGACUAUUAGAAUAAUCCAGGACGGAGUGGCUCAGAUCAAAGUGGUGGCAGUGGAGAUAGUGAGAAGUAGCUAGGUUCUGGUUUAUACAUUGAAAGUAGGAGCAAUCAGGUUUCCUCAUGUAUUGAAUGCAGGGAAUGAGGGGGAGCGGUUGCAGUUACUUACCUCGAUUGUUUUUGUCUGAACGAUUGGAAGAAUGGUGUUUCCUUCAACUGGGGUUAGAAGGCUACGGCUGGGGAGAAGGUUUUGUGGGAGAAGGUGGGAGUUCAGUUUUGGACAUACCAAGUUUGAGAUUAAGCUGUCUGAUAUGCACGAAUGGACUUUGGGAGAGAGAGUCAUUGAAGAGUGUGGGACAGAAGUGCUGUGUGAUGUCUCGAGCCUGCAUAGAAUCACAGAGGGAAUGAGCGUCAUAGAGAAGAGGCGAGGACUGAGGGCCGAGUCUUGGGCCGCUACAGCGUCAAGAGGUUGAGGAGCAGAGCAGGAACCAGCAAAGCAACCUAAAGAGCAACCAUGAGGAAAGGGGAAAGUGUGAGAGUAAGGAGUCCUGGUGGCCGCAUGGAGGAAGGAAGUGUGUCCAAGUGAGAAGAUGUUGAAUGGUGUCAGCAGCUGCCAAUAAAGCCGUGAGAUUGUGUCUGAGUGGGGGCAUGUGAAUCCGUGUGGGUCCAUGUGGAUGCAGUGGAGGUCACUGGUGAUCUCAUGAGAGUGGCUUCCUUGGAGUAGUGGGUAAAAGUCUGCUUAAAAGAGGGCUUAGGAGUGAAUCGGGGAAAGGAAUGGAAAUACAUCAACAUAGACAACCCUUGAGGAGUUUUGCCACGAAGAGACACCAAAAAAAAAAGAGAGAAAGGAAAAGCAAA
Sapajus apella (tufted capuchin) is the source of this 1668-nucleotide long non-coding RNA. RefSeq lists it as uncharacterized. The transcript has 2 exons. Lineage: Eukaryota; Metazoa; Chordata; Mammalia; Primates; Cebidae. The record is from RefSeq and is a predicted model, not a curated record.